RNAcentral lists this ribosomal RNA (515 nucleotides) under uncultured bacterium. Its description in RNAcentral is "partial 16S ribosomal RNA". It matches the Rfam family "Bacterial small subunit ribosomal RNA", at positions 28 to 523 of the family's 1533-position model. The record is from RNAcentral.
GAUGAACGCUGGCGGCGUGCCUAAUACAUGCAAGCCGAGCGAAUGGAUUAAGAGCUUGCUCUUAUGAAGUUAGCGGCGGACGGGUGAGUAACACGUGGGUAACCUGCCCAUAAGACUGGGAUAACUCCGGGAAACCGGGGCUAAUACCGGAUAACAUUUUGAACCGCAUGGUUCGAAAUUGAAAGGCGGCUUCGGCUGUCACUUAUGGAUGGACCCGCGUCGCAUUAGCUAGUUGGUGAGGUAACGGCUCACCAAGGCAACGAUGCGUAGCCGACCUGGGAGGGUGAUCGGCCACACUGGGACUGAGACACGGCCCAGACUCCUACGGGAGGCAGCAGUAGGGAAUCGUCCGCAAUGGACGAAAGUCUGACAGAGCAACGCCGCGUGAGUGAUGAAGGCUUUCGGGUCGUAAAACUCUGUUGUUAGGGAAGAACAAGUGCUAGUUGAAUAAGCUGGCACCUUGACGGUACCUAACCAGAAAGCCACGGCUAACUACGUGCCAGCCGCCGCAGUAA